Molecule: transfer RNA, 69 nt
Filed under: Trochalopteron elliotii (Elliot's laughingthrush)
Lineage: Eukaryota; Metazoa; Chordata; Aves; Passeriformes; Leiothrichidae
Description: tRNA-Pro
Rfam family: tRNA
About the family: Transfer RNA (tRNA) molecules are approximately 80 nucleotides in length.
Source: RNAcentral
CAGAAAGUAGUUUAACUAAAAUGCCAGCUUUGGGAGUUGGUGAUAAGGGCGAAAUCCCCUUCUUUUUGA